RNAcentral lists this ribosomal RNA (402 nucleotides) under uncultured bacterium. RNAcentral describes it as "bacterial SSU rRNA". It matches the Rfam family "Bacterial small subunit ribosomal RNA", at positions 355 to 750 of the family's 1533-position model. The record is from RNAcentral.
UGGGGAAUUUUGGACAAUGGGCGCAAGCCUGAUCCAGCCAUGCCGCGUGCAGGAUGAAGGCCUUCGGGUUGUAAACUGCUUUUGUACGGAACGAAAAGCCCCCUUCUAAUAAAGGGGGGUGAUGACGGUACCGUAAGAAUAAGCACCGGCUAACUACGUGCCAGCAGCCGCGGUAAUACGUAGGGUGCAAGCGUUAAUCGGAAUUACUGGGCGUAAAGCGUGCGCAGGCGGUUAUGUAAGACAGAGGUGAAAUCCCCGGGCUCAACCUGGGAACUGCCUUUGUGACUGCAUAGCUUGAGUGCGGCAGAGGGGAUGGAAUUCCGCGUGUAGCAGUGAAAUGCGUAGAUAUGCGGAGGAACACCGAUGGCGAAGGCAAUCCCCUGGGCCUGCACUGACGCUCAU